CGCGGCCUAUCAGCUUGUUGGUGGGGCAACGGCCUACCAAGGCGACGACGGGUAGCCGGCCUGAGAGGGCGACCGGCCACACUGGGACUGAGAUACGGCCCAGACUCCUACGGGAGGCAGCAGUGGGGAAUAUUGCGCAAUGGGCGAAAGCCUGACGCAGCAACGCCGCGUGAGGGAACGAAGACUUUUGGGUCGUAAACCUCUUCCAGCAGGGACGAAGCGCAAGUGACGGUACCUGCAGAAGAAGCACCGGCUAACUACGUGCCAGCAGCCGCGGUAAUACGUAGGGUGCGAGCGUUGUCCGGAUUUAUUGGGCGUAAAGGGCUCGUAGGCGGUCCGUCGCGUCGGAAGUGAAAUCCCGGGGCUCAACCCCGGGCCUGCUUUCGAUACGGGCGGACUUGAGUUCGGUAGGGGAGACUGGAAUUCCUGGUGUAGCGGUGGAAUGCGCAGAUAUCAGGAGGAACACCAAUGGCGAAGGCAGGUCUCUGGGCCGAUACUGACGCUGAGGAGCGAAAGCGUGGGGAGCGAACAGGAUUAGAUACCCUGGUAGUCCACGCCGUAAACGGUGGGCGCUAGGUGUGGGGAACAGUCUACGUUUUCCGCGCCGCAGCUAACGCAUUAAGCGCCCCGCCUGGGGAGUACGG
RNAcentral lists this ribosomal RNA (644 nucleotides) under uncultured bacterium. RNAcentral's name for it is "bacterial SSU rRNA". It matches the Rfam family "Bacterial small subunit ribosomal RNA", at positions 232 to 885 of the family's 1533-position model. The record is from RNAcentral.